This 72-nucleotide transfer RNA is filed under the name Bacteroidota bacterium. Its description in RNAcentral is "Bacteroidetes bacterium (groundwater metagenome) tRNA-Lys". It matches the Rfam family "tRNA". From Rfam's summary of the family: Transfer RNA (tRNA) molecules are approximately 80 nucleotides in length. Lineage: Bacteria; Pseudomonadati; Bacteroidota. The record is from RNAcentral.
GGGCGCAUAGCUCAGUGGUAGAGCAUCUCCCUUUUAAGGAGAGGGUCCCUGGUUCGAGCCCAGGUGCGCUCA